GAUGAGAAGCUUCGACUAAGGUUCGACUCGAGCGAAGCGAGAGAACGUUGCCGCAGGCAACGGCCCGAAGGGCGAGGAGAGAUAGCGACGAGUUAUCCUUCCCCCACCACCA
This 112-nucleotide small RNA is filed under the name Klebsiella pneumoniae. RNAcentral describes it as "partial RtT sRNA". It matches the Rfam family "RtT RNA", at positions 21 to 130 of the family's 130-position model. Rfam says of the family: This family represents a bacterial cis-regulatory element known as RtT RNA. Lineage: Bacteria; Pseudomonadati; Pseudomonadota; Gammaproteobacteria; Enterobacterales; Enterobacteriaceae. The record is from RNAcentral.